RNAcentral lists this ribosomal RNA (253 nucleotides) under uncultured bacterium. RNAcentral's name for it is "partial 16S ribosomal RNA". It matches the Rfam family "Bacterial small subunit ribosomal RNA", at positions 524 to 776 of the family's 1533-position model. The record is from RNAcentral.
UACGUAGGGGGCUAGCGUUGUCCGGAAUCAUUGGGCGUCAAGAGCGUGUAGGCGGUCCGGUAAGUCCGUUGUGAAAGUCAGGGGCUCAACCCUUGAAUGCCGGCGGAUACUGUCGGGCUAGAGUCCGGAAGAGGCGAGUGGAAUUCCCGGUGUAGCGGUGAAAUGCGCAGAUAUCGGGAGGAACACCGGUGGCGAAGGCGGAUCUCUGGGCCUGUCCUGACGCUGAGGCGCGAAAGCUAGGGGAGCGAACAGG